RNAcentral lists this ribosomal RNA (484 nucleotides) under uncultured bacterium. RNAcentral's name for it is "partial 16S ribosomal RNA". It matches the Rfam family "Bacterial small subunit ribosomal RNA", at positions 28 to 523 of the family's 1533-position model. The record is from RNAcentral.
GAUGAACGCUGGCGGCGUGCCUAACACAUGCAAGUCGAACGGUGAAGCAGGAGCUUGCUCUUGUGGAUCAGUGGCGAACGGGUGAGUAACACGUGAGCAACCUGCCCCUGACUCUGGGAUAAGCGCUGGAGACGGCGUCUAAUACUGGAUAUGUGAUGUGACCGCAUGGUCUGCAUCUGGAAAGAAUUUCGGUUGGGGAUGGGCUCGCGGCCUAUCAGCUUGUUGGUGAGGUAAUGGCUCACCAAGGCGUCGACGGGUAGCCGGCCUGAGAGGGUGACCGGCCACACUGGGGCUGAGCCACGGCCCAGACUCCUACGGGAGGCAGCAGUGGGGAAUAUUGCGCAAUGGGCGGAAGCCUGAUGCAGCAACGCCGCGUGAGGGAUGACGGCCUUCGGGUUGUAAACCUCUUUUAGCAGGGAAGAAGCGAAAGUGACGGUACCUGCAGAAAAAGCACCGGCUAACUACGUGCCAGCCGCCGCCGUAA